Molecule: long non-coding RNA, 238 nt
Organism: Ziziphus jujuba (common jujube)
Lineage: Eukaryota; Viridiplantae; Streptophyta; Magnoliopsida; Rosales; Rhamnaceae
Exons: 3
Source: RefSeq, a predicted model, not a curated record
AGCAACAAGCCGAGUGUGGUAUUGUAGAAAGAGUUACUUCAAAUGCACAAAGCAAAUUUAAGUUACUUUAUUUCGAGCAAGAUGUGAAUGGCGGUUAUGGUUUGGCCCUACAGAUGGAUAAUUGAUCCUCCUCUGGAGGUCAAUGUACCAUCAAAACGCACACCAUGGCCUGAUGCCCCUCCUGAACUCCCUACCAAUGAAAAUGUAGUGUUGGGCAUCCAAGAGCAUGCUGUAAAGC